AUUGAACGCUGGCGGCAUGCCUUACACAUGCAAGUCGAACGGCAGCACGGGAGCAAUCCUGGUGGCGAGUGGCGAACGGGUGAGUAAUAUAUCGGAACGUGCCCAGUCGUGGGGGAUAACGUAGCGAAAGCUACGCUAAUACCGCAUACUAUCUAUGGAUGAAAGCGGGGGAUCGCAAGACCUCGCGCGAUUGGAGCGGCCGAUAUCAGAUUAGGUAGUUGGUGAGGUAAAGGCUCACCAAGCCGACGAUCUGUAGCUGGUCUGAGAGGACGACCAGCCACACUGGGACUGAGACACGGCCCAGACUCCUACGGGAGGCAGCAGUGGGGGAAUUUUUGGACAAUGGGCGCAAGCCUGAUCCAGCAAUGCCGCGUGCAGGAUG
Molecule: ribosomal RNA, 382 nt
Filed under: uncultured bacterium
Lineage: Bacteria
Description: bacterial SSU rRNA
Rfam family: Bacterial small subunit ribosomal RNA
Source: RNAcentral